Molecule: non-coding RNA, 2732 nt
Organism: Peromyscus maniculatus bairdii (prairie deer mouse)
Lineage: Eukaryota; Metazoa; Chordata; Mammalia; Rodentia; Cricetidae
Source: RefSeq, a predicted model, not a curated record
ACCACGCUGGAACAUGGUAUUUGGGGGUAACCUGAAUCUGUAUUCCAGGGCCACGGUCCAGAAUAAACAUCUCUGGUUCUCUCGUCCCUUCUGAAGCGAGAGCUGUUUUAGCUGUGGGAAACCGAAGUGCACCUGCGCGUGCCCUGGGAGGCGAGCGAGCAGGGCCGCUGUCAUCCGCCCGUCAUUUCCCAAACCAGCUGCCUCAGUUGCUCUAUAGAAAACGCUGCCCUCUUGACACCCGAGACGCCGCCUCCGCGCGCCCGGCUCGCGGCGCGCUGGCGCCACCGUGCGGCCUCUUCCUGCCAUUGCCCUGAGGCCGCUGUGGCGCCUGGGUGAACCUGUUCAAACCCUAAGGUCACAGACAGAGGUGCUGGAGCCCCGACAAAGAGCUUCCUCUCUGGUCCAACAUACCGUCCAAAUACCUGCUUUCCCGACGGACGGGAAAGCAGCUCGUGUCAGCUUUCCAGCGCUUCAUUCUGCUCCCUAGCACUUAUGGCUGACGCUUCCUGUCGCCUGCUUCCACUAGCAAGAUCAAGGGCUCUCUCCACGGUUAAUGAUAGCGUUUCCAAAGGCACCAGCUCAUGAUCACAUAUUCUCGGGGCAGUCUCUGCAAGAGCACACAAAGACAUCUUCCACAACAAGUCUACUUCUGUGUUUAGGACUGAUAACCAGCAAGCUGGAACACCCUGUUUCACAAAGAUAUGUUGUCGGAAAUGGAAGAAGGGUAACAGUCUCAAACAGAAAGGCUAUGAACCAACACUUGAUCCAGAAUUGUGUAACUGACAUUGUAGAGAAGUCAGUUCCUGCUGCACAGAUGUUAACAAGUUCAGUGAACUCUGAAGCCACCUCGGGAACAUCUUCAACGUCAACUGUGAAUGGGCUUCUGGCACGUGCAAAUGGGUGUCAGGGAGAUUUGGAAAAUACAAUGAAUUGUCAUCCGCAAGUAGGUGCAAGUGUGUUUUGUUGUUGUUGGUUUUGGUUUUUUUGUUUGUUUGUUUUUCUGUGUAGCUUUGGAACCUGUCCUAAAACUUGCUCUGUAGACCAGGCUGGCCUUGAACUCACAGAGAUUCUCCUGCCUCUGCCUCCCGAGUGCUGGGAUUAAAGGCAUGCGCCAUCAAUGCCCUGUGCAAGUGUUCUUUCACAGAAAUUAUCACCUGGUUCAAUGUCACGUUCCUCAAAGAAAGCCCCAAUAAGGUAGGCAACAUAUGAAUUCUAUUAUCAUCUAGUUCGUUUCUGUUUUUGCCAAAGCUAAAGUUUCAUUUGGAAUGAUCUGAUGUUUUCAGACAAAUCGAGGCAUGUUGCAUUUGGUCCUUGCAGUACAACUUUAACUCAUUCAAGAUGGCAAAGAUGUCAACCAAAUAAGUUAUUUUCUGCAAUUUGUUUUCAUCGCUGGAAAGUGCUUUGAACUGCAGUCUUGCUUUCUGAUUAAAAACAUUUUGAGUUCAUCAUGAAGCUCAAAAGCGCAUUUUAAAAACAUUUCCUCUUGCCCACCAUCUCUCUUCAGCGUGAAAGAGCAGAGCUUUGUUCACGGAUCCACCUUGUAGCACAGCUGAGCAAACAGUCAAUCGUUUAAAGUGCUCACCUUUACAAACCGACGAAUUCAUGCCUUUCAGACUUCCUGUAACUCCUGCGGCACUGUCUUCACUGCUGAUAUUUGCCGAUGAAUCAUACAGUGAGUUCGGAUGACUCUGGUGUUCAGAUGGCUUUUUCGAUGUUCAGUACCAAACGCUGAAUCCAGAUGACACCCCAGCACAGCUGGAGCACCAUCUGUGCCAACACCACAACCUUUCCCAAGAGAGCUUCCGCUCUUUCAGGAAAUACAUCACGUGCAGUGUUGUGGAUUCAAGAGGUUUGCAUAAAAAGCAGCUCACCUUUAAGGCCGCCACCACCAUCACUACACCUCAUGUACACAGUACCUGUUACCUGAUCAAGACCGUCAGCACUGCCAUCCAUUCUCCUGCAGUGUCCUUAGAGAGGGAAACUGCACUCAACUGUGUAACAAGUUCGUCUCAACUUCAACAAUGUCUUCGGCCACUGGCAACAGUAACUCCUCAGCAACAGUGUCAGGUUUCAUUUCAUGGUCCUGGCAAUUCCGGGUGCCUCCAAACGUGAGGCUUCAGCGGCUGCUAUGUUCUGUUUGUGGUACUUGCCACCAGUAUCAAGUCCAUCAGCUUUGCUCCUAAAACAGUUUGUAUAUCUUUGCAGCAAAGCUCGAAUGCUGUUAUCAAAAUGGCAUUUUAGUUUGCUCGGCUCCGGCUGACAGAAGUUCACAACAAAUAACACAGUGCAAUUUCUCAAUUCCUGCUGUAAUUACUAAAGUAAAACCAUACUGUAAAAAAUCCUCAUUAUACUUUCUUUUCUUAACGUUCCUUUCUACACAACCAUUGUCAUGGGAUGGUUUUCUAAUGAAAACAAUAUAUAACAACAGCUUUACUAAUCCAAAAGAUGAUGCAUGGCAUAGUUCAGUCAAUGCAGUACACUGGAGUUUCCUAUGAUUUACCAUUGUGUGUUUUUACAUACCAGUUACUAUCACAAGGGGGCAGUAUUCACGUCAACCACAUCUGAUCAGCAUCCACAGGAAGUUCCCAUGGUACAGAUUUUUUUUUCUGUAGUUGAUGAUUUACAGUACAUGAUUUUACUCUUACCCAGUAAUUAUAAUUCAUAAAGCAUUGGUUUAUCUCCAAUACUGAUGUUGUCAACACAGUUGCUACUCUCUACAUAUAUGUGACUGG